Molecule: long non-coding RNA, 387 nt
Organism: Solanum pennellii
Lineage: Eukaryota; Viridiplantae; Streptophyta; Magnoliopsida; Solanales; Solanaceae
Exons: 2
Source: RefSeq, a predicted model, not a curated record
ACCAGUAAGCUGGAAAGAAAAAGGACAUUAAAGUCAAAGCUCCUGAAGUCGCAUAGAGAUCAAAAACGAGUUUUUCUUUCGAUUUUGCUCUCGCCGGCUUCUAUUUUGUUCAUCCAGGCUCAUUGGGUUUGUUUGUGGUCAUAGGAGCUCUAUCUUUUCUGUUCGUACUCGUCUCCAGUCGCUGCAUCUCGAAAGGAUGACGAACCAGAUCAAGGCCCCCAAGAUCUUAAUGAAGCAGCAACGAAUGAAGAUACAUAAACAGUAUUAUAUCAUGUAAAAUGUAUCUUUUGAUAAAGUAAAGUAUUACUCAAACAAAUUAAGAAACAUAAAAAGUAAUAUAUCACGCACUAAUUUAUUAGGCAUGAUACAAAAAUCAAUUUUUUACUA